RNAcentral lists this long non-coding RNA (1030 nucleotides) under Phaseolus vulgaris (common bean). RNAcentral describes it as "long non-coding RNA (PVUL_LNC004789)". Lineage: Eukaryota; Viridiplantae; Streptophyta; Magnoliopsida; Fabales; Fabaceae. The record is from RNAcentral.
CGAGAUUAAUUAAAGAUCAAAUAUUAAAUAGUGUAUUCUUAAUUACAUACAUAUUAAAUUCUUAAUCAGACCCAAUAAUAAAGAGUCCAUAAUAAUUAUAUAAAUAAACACAUAUUCCAAAAGUUAAGUACCAUCCGAGAUCGAAAUGCCUUUUGCAGGUACCAUCCGAGAUCAAAGUUUAUUGAGACAAAGAGUGGAAGAGUGAGAGGUGCAUAAGAAGUUCAUUCGAGAGGAAACCGAGAAACAGUGAAAUCGUUAUUUUGAUUUCUACUUAGUUCGAGAACAAUUGGCGUCCACCUAAAAGAAAAAUUGAAAAAUGAAAAAAUUAGAUGUUAUCUACACCAAACAUGAUGAAGAAGAACAAAUAAUAAGGACCAAAAUAUAUUUUGUAGGGUAUAGUUGUUGACUUAACAAGAUCGAAAUCUAAGAUGGUAUAGAAUAUUGUGUGGAAAAUGUCCAUUUUUGUUUUGAAAAAGUAAAGGAAUAGAGUAGAGGCAAAUGAAGAAUAGGCAAAGGCAACUUUUUGUCAUUCUUUCACUGGAAAAGGGCUUUUAGGUUUGAAAUGGCAUUGGGUCUAAAAGAGGGGAAAGAAAGAAAAACAGUAGUAGUAUAGUGCAGUGAGGCACUGAGGCUAUUCAGUGGUUGGUCCCUCCUAAUGGAAAAAAGAAUUAGUAGUUAAUUAUGAUUAGGGAUAGAAGAUUAUGAUGGUGAUGAGGAAGAGGAAGAGGAAGAGAAAAUGAAAAUGGGUGUGAUGAAAAGGUUGAGAAGGCAAUGUUCCCUUAACUCCCAACAAGAUAGAGUCUCUCAGACCACGCCACACUUCUUCUUCUGCUUCUUCUGCCUCUGUCUCUGCUUCUUCUGCCUUUGCUUCUUUGCUUAGGUUCCAUCAAACUCACUUUUUGUUUGGACUCUGUGCACUCUCUAUUCUAUUAUUCUAUUCUUCUAUUAUUCUAUUCUGAAUAAGACUCAACCCUCUCUCACCUUACCCUCCCUAGGCAAAACCAAAACCAAAACCUUCACACCAUUUAAC